Molecule: ribosomal RNA, 440 nt
Filed under: uncultured bacterium
Lineage: Bacteria
Description: partial 16S ribosomal RNA
Rfam family: Bacterial small subunit ribosomal RNA
Source: RNAcentral
CCUAUGGGAGGCAGCAGUGGGGGAUAUUGCACAAUGGGGGAAACCCUGAUGCAGCGACGCCGCGUGGGUGAAGAAGCGCCUCGGCGCGUAAAGCCCUGUCAGCAGGGAAGAAAAUGACGCUACCUGAAGAAGAAGCCCCGGCUAACUACGUGCCAGCAGCCGCGGUAAUACGGAGGGGGCAAGCGUUAUCCGGAUUUACUGGGUGUAAAGGGGGCGCAGACGGCGAUGCAAGCCAGGAGUGAAAGCCCGGGGCCCAACCACGGGACUGCUGUUGAAACUGGAUGGCUAGAGUGCGGGAGGGGCAGGCGGAAUGCCUGGUGUAGCGGUGAAAUGCAUAGAUAUCAGGAGGAACACCGGUUGCGAAGGCGGCCUGCUGGGCUGCAACUGACGUUGAGGCCCGAAAGCGUGGGGAGCAAACAGGAUUAGAUACCCCGGUAGUC